GGUGCCAUUUCUUUUUUUCUUUUUUUCUUUUCGCUUUCCUGUAGAUCACUCAUCUCGCCCGAAGCCCCCUCGUCUCUUCGGCCCGGCGUCCCCUCGUCUCUUCCCCUUUUGAUUUCGAGCGGCGAAGACCUCGGUGAGUUAGAGAGCUUGAGUCAUGGCAAUUUCGAUUGGGAGUUCUCCUUCGGUGCCUGCUUGAGGGCUUGGUGGUCAGGCGGCCGGAAUUCUUCAGGCGGUAUGGUCGGUUUCUUCUCUCCCCAUCGAUGCAUCUCUCCUCUGUUGUUGUUUCCCUUUCAGUUCUCUGUUGCUCAGAUCUGUGGGUUGCUCGUGUGCUAAGAUCUGUAGGUUUAUGUGAUGUUAUGCGUAGGGGAUCGAGUGCUGUGAUGUAAUUCCAGUACUUUUAGUAUUGGUGUUGAUUGUAAUUCCAGUAGUAUUUUUGCUGAUUUACUAAUGUAAUUUUUGGUGUCUUCCAUUGUAUACCAGUGCAUUUUUUUUCUUUUCCAAUGAUAUAGCUCUGUAUUUCUAGUAGUAUAUUUUUUUCAGAGUGUAUUUUUUCACUGUUAGUCAGUUGUAUUCCGUCCAUAAAGAAAUAUAGGAGCUUGAACUUGUGUAAAUUUGUGAUUGCUCAGGAGUGUCCUUUUCUUAUCACUCGACUUACUCCGUAAAUCUUAUUUUUUUACUGUCACUUGUAAGUGAGAUCACAGUGUUAUUGUUGCCAAAAGAAAGCCAAACUCUCAUCCAGAUGCGUCUCGAUUCACAUUUCUAUAUGAUAAUAUGCACGACUGAUUUCUUGUAUCUACUGAUACAAGAGAUUCUUUCAAAAGAUAAUCCUAAACCCCUAACCCAGGGUGGGCGAAAGAUGGAGGCAAUACUGCCGUUGAAGCUCAAGAGUGAGCAGCAGUCCGGUUACCCCUUGCUUUCUCAACUUGAGUAGGAAACUUCCAACCAAACAGGACGGAGGGUCACUAGUGUUUUAGAUGUAGACAUGCAGGAGAGAGAUCUGUCUCAUCUGUCUCAAUCAUGCUAAGUGUGGGGUGAACGCAAAUAUGGGGGUGUUUACCUGUGAUUCCUAUUGAGUGGAAGACUGAAGCAACUCAUUCUACAGACAAGCCUGAAUUUUUUCAAGUAUCAGGUCAGUUCUGUCUUCCACAUUUGUUCAGGUAGGAGGGAGACAACAGGAGGUGAUGAACGCACAGGAGGAGG
Non-coding RNA from Triticum urartu, 1200 nucleotides. The record is from RefSeq and is a predicted model, not a curated record. Lineage: Eukaryota; Viridiplantae; Streptophyta; Magnoliopsida; Poales; Poaceae.